This 521-nucleotide ribosomal RNA is filed under the name uncultured Glomus. RNAcentral describes it as "SSU rRNA". It matches the Rfam family "Eukaryotic small subunit ribosomal RNA", at positions 569 to 1092 of the family's 1831-position model. Lineage: Eukaryota; Fungi; Glomeromycota; Glomeromycetes; Glomerales; Glomeraceae. The record is from RNAcentral.
AGCAGCCGCGGUAAUUCCAGCUCCAAUAGCGUAUAUUAAAGUUGUUGCAGUUAAAAAGCUCGUAGUUGAAUUUCGGGAUUAAUAUGUUGGUCGUGCCUUGGUACGUACUGGCAUUAUUGAUUCCUACCUUCUGAAGAACCUCGAUGUCAUUAAUUUGGUGUCUUGGGGAAUCAGGACCGUUACUUUGAAAAAAUUAGAGUGUUUAAAGCAGGCUCGCGCUUGAAUACAUUAGCAUGGAAUAAUGAAAUAGGACGUUUGAUUCUAUUUUGUUGGUUUCUAGGAUCGACGUAAUGAUUAAUAGGGAUAGUUGGGGGCAUUAGUAUUCAAUUGUCAGAGGUGAAAUUCUUGGAUUUAUUGAAGACUGACUACUGCGAAAGCAUUUGCCAAGGAUGUUUUCAUUAAUCAAGAACGAAAGUUAGGGGAUCGAAGACGAUCAGAUACCGUCGUAGUCUUAACCAUAAACUAUGCCGACUAGGGAUCGGAUGAUGUUAAUUUUUUAAUGACCCAUUCGGCGCCUUACG